UACGGAGGAUGCGAGCGUUAUCCGGAUUCAUUGGGUUUAAAGGGUGCGUAGGCGGACUAUUAAGUCAGUGGUGAAAGCCUGCAGCUUAACUGCAGAACUGCCAUUGAUACUGAUAGUCUUGAGUUUGGUUAAGGUAGGCGGAAUGUGUAAUGUAGCGGUGAAAUGCUUAGAUAUUACACAGAACACCAAUUGCGUAGGCAGCUUACUGAGCCGACACUGACGCUGAGGCACGAAAGCGUGGGGAUCAAACA
Molecule: ribosomal RNA, 251 nt
Filed under: uncultured prokaryote
Description: partial 16S ribosomal RNA
Rfam family: Bacterial small subunit ribosomal RNA
Source: RNAcentral